GACGAUCGCUGGCGGCGUGCUUAACACAUGCAAGUCGAACGGUGAAGCGCCUUCCUUUUUGGUGGGUGUGGAUGAGUGGCGAACGGGUGAGUAACACGUGAGUAACCUGCCCCCUUCUUCUGGAUAACCGCAUGAAAGUGUGGCUAAUACGGGAUAUUCUGGGUCUGUCGCAUGAUGGGUCUGGGAAAGAUAUUGUUUCGGUGGGGGAUGGGCUCGCGGCCUAUCAGCUUGUUGGUGGGGUGAUGGCCUACCAAGGCGGUGACGGGUAGCCGGCCUGAGAGGGUGGACGGUCACACUGGGACUGAGACACGGCCCAGACUCCUACGGGAGGCAGCAGUGGGGAAUAUUGCACAAUGGGCGCAAGCCUGAUGCAGCGACGCCGCGUGAGGGAUGGAGGCCUUCGGGUUGUGAACCUCUUUCGCCAGUGAAGCAGGCCUGCCUCGUUUGUGGGUGGGUUGACGGUAGCUGGAUAAGAAGCGCCGGCUAACUACGUG
This 494-nucleotide ribosomal RNA is filed under the name uncultured bacterium. RNAcentral describes it as "partial 16S ribosomal RNA". It matches the Rfam family "Bacterial small subunit ribosomal RNA", at positions 28 to 507 of the family's 1533-position model. The record is from RNAcentral.